CCAGGUCUUUGGCCGAUGCAUCAGACGGUUCACCUGCAAAAUACAGCCGCCAGUACGUGCGCAUUCCCGUGGAAGACUGUGAAACCACAGACCUUUUGGAGCAUAGUCCAGACUGCCAAGACUCCAUUAUCAUUCGUGACAUCACAGAUGCUCAAGAGGAAGAGGAGGAAGCAGAAGCUGCUGCCCCAGAGAAGCUUUUGGCGCUGGUGCACUCCAAUCAUGAAAGUUGGAAGGCUCCUGUGCCCACCCGAGAAGGAAUUCCCACUUGUGGAACACAAGAGACCCCUGAGCCAGAAGUGCCCCAAGGGGACCGUUCGGUUCAGCUCACGGAUGGCCCCCUCCAGUCCAGUGCUAUGGAGUUGCACACUCCACAAGUCAGCGCCAACGAAGAAGCCGCAGCCGUGAUCGAUUCCAUCAUCAGUGAAAACCAAACCAUGGCAUCAAGUGACUCUUUCCUUGACAGGUGCGUCUGCUUUCAGAGAGGCAACACCUGGCAGGAUUAUCCCCUGCCAAAGAACCAUGGCAUCGGGGGAGGUUAGCCUGUUCCUUGCCACCCUUGACAAGGACCUGCCUGGCAUCAGACAGCAGCCUCCCCCAAUUUAUUAUUAUUAUUAUUGUUUAUUAAUGAAACGCUUGUUUUUUCCCUUUGUUUCUGGAGCUGUUGUCUCCCUCAUUCUUCAGUGUCCCUUUGGAAGGGAAAAGACUUCUGAGUAUUUCUCUUGAGCAGCAACUGUAAAUUCCUUGCUGGAUUCUUCCUCCUUAUUUCUCCAGUGUAAACUGCUAUGAAAGGAACC
Molecule: long non-coding RNA, 794 nt
Filed under: Pseudonaja textilis
Lineage: Eukaryota; Metazoa; Chordata; Lepidosauria; Squamata; Elapidae
Description: lncRNA (ENSPTXG00000000749.1)
Source: RNAcentral